GCCAGCAGCCAUAUCACUCUGCAACUCCCAGCUGGCAGCCCCACUGGAGCUCAGCAGGUGUGAGCCUGGCCAGUACCUGGAUGGGAGACUCCUGGGAAAAACUAAGGUUGCUGCUGGAA
This 119-nucleotide ribosomal RNA is filed under the name Lepisosteus oculatus (spotted gar). The record is from RNAcentral. Lineage: Eukaryota; Metazoa; Chordata; Actinopteri; Semionotiformes; Lepisosteidae.